This 252-nucleotide ribosomal RNA is filed under the name uncultured bacterium. RNAcentral's name for it is "partial 16S ribosomal RNA". It matches the Rfam family "Bacterial small subunit ribosomal RNA", at positions 524 to 776 of the family's 1533-position model. The record is from RNAcentral.
GACGAAGGUGGCGAGCGUUAUUCGGAUUUACUGGGCAUACAGCGCGCGUAGGCGGCUCGACAAGUCGGGGGUGAAAGCCUGCAGCUCAACUGCGGUGUGCCUUCGAAACUGUCGAGCUUGAGUGCAGGAGGGGUGAUUGGAACUCCAGGUGUAGCGGUGAAAUGCGUAGAUAUCGGAAGGAACACCAGUGGCGAAAGCGACUUCCUGGUCCAAUACUGACGUUCAUGUGCGAAAGCGUGGGGAGCAAACAGG